RNAcentral lists this ribosomal RNA (520 nucleotides) under uncultured bacterium. Its description in RNAcentral is "bacterial SSU rRNA". It matches the Rfam family "Bacterial small subunit ribosomal RNA", at positions 120 to 674 of the family's 1533-position model. The record is from RNAcentral.
GGGAAUCUGCCCUUGGGUUCGGAACAACAGUUAGAAAUGACUGCUAAUACCGGAUGAUGUCUUCGGACCAAAGAUUUAUCGCCCAAGGAUGAGCCCGCGUAGGAUUAGCUAGUUGGUGGGGUAAUGGCCCACCAAGGCGACGAUCCUUAGCUGGUCUGAGAGGAUGAUCAGCCACACUGGGACUGAGACACGGCCCAGACUCCUACGGGAGGCAGCAGUGGGGAAUAUUGGACAAUGGGCGAAAGCCUGAUCCAGCAAUGCCGCGUGAGUGAUGAAGGCCUUAGGGUUGUAAAGCUCUUUUACCCGGGAUGAUAAUGACAGUACCGGGAGAAUAAGCUCCGGCUAACUCCGUGCCAGCAGCCGCGGUAAUACGGAGGGAGCUAGCGUUGUUCGGAAUUACUGGGCGUAAAGCGUACGUAGGCGGUUAUUCAAGUCAGAGGUGAAAGCCCGGGGCUCAACCCCGGAACGGCCUUUGAAACUAGGUAGCUAGAAUCUUGGAGAGGUCAGUGGAAUUCCGAGU